GCCAUUCUGUCAUCCAGUAUAUAUAGCAAGUCGAGCCAGUAGUAGAGAAGCUUGCUUCUCUUGAGAGCGGCGGACGGGUGAGUAAUGCCUAGGAAUCUGCCUGGUAGUGGGGGAUAACGCUCGGAAACGGACGCUAAUACCGCAUACGUCCUACGGGAGAAAGCAGGGGACCUUCGGGCCUUGCGCUAUCAGAUGAGCCUAGGUCGGAUUAGCUAGUUGGUGAGGUAAUGGCUCACCAAGGCGACGAUCCGUAACUGGUCUGAGAGGAUGAUCAGUCACACUGGAACUGAGACACGGUCCAGACUCCUACGGGAGGCAGCAGUGGGGAAUAUUGGACAAUGGGCGAAAGCCUGAUCCAGCCAUGCCGCGUGUGUGAAGAAGGUCUUCGGAUUGUAAAGCACUUUAAGUUGGGAGGAAGGGCAUUAACCUAAUACGUUGGUGUCUUGACGUUACCGACAGAAUAAGCACCGGCUAACUCUGUGCCAGCAGCCGCGGUAAUACAGAGGGUGCAAGCGUUAAUCGGAAUUACUGGGCGUAAAGCGCGCGUAGGUGGUUUGUUAAGUUGGAUGUGAAAUCCCCGGGCUCAACCUGGGAACUGCAUUCAAAACUGACAAGCUAGAGUAUGGUAGAGGGUGGUGGAAUUUCCUGUGUAGCGGUGAAAUGCGUAGAUAUAGGAAGGAACACCAGUGGCGAAGGCGACCACCUGGACUGAUACUGACACUGAGGUGCGAAAGCGUGGGGAGCAAACAGGAUUAGAUACCCUGGUAGUCCACGCCGUAAACGAUGUCAACUAGCCGUUGGGAGCCUUGAGCUCUUAGUGGCGCAGCUAACGCAUUAAGUUGACCGCCUGGGGAGUACGGCCGCAGGUUAAAACUCAAUGAAUUGACGGGGGCCCGCACAAGCGUGGAGCAUGUGGUUUAAUUCGAAGCAACGCGAGAACCUUACCAGGCCUGACAUCCAAUGAACU
RNAcentral lists this ribosomal RNA (967 nucleotides) under uncultured Pseudomonas sp. RNAcentral's name for it is "bacterial SSU rRNA". It matches the Rfam family "Bacterial small subunit ribosomal RNA", at positions 35 to 997 of the family's 1533-position model. Lineage: Bacteria; Pseudomonadati; Pseudomonadota; Gammaproteobacteria; Pseudomonadales; Pseudomonadaceae. The record is from RNAcentral.